Long non-coding RNA from Puntigrus tetrazona (Sumatra barb), 225 nucleotides. RefSeq lists it as uncharacterized. The record is from RefSeq and is a predicted model, not a curated record. The transcript is spliced from 3 exons. NCBI's taxonomy places the organism in Eukaryota, Metazoa, Chordata, Actinopteri, Cypriniformes, Cyprinidae.
GAUCACCAACCCGCCGUUUAAAACAACGAGCAUCAGCGCUGUCGAGCAGCUUCAGUGACCCCUGCCUGUGUCUGGCGCUCUCCGACGGGGUUUGAGGUAAAUCUGUGAGAAUGCCACAGUUAUGCGGCCUCCUCAUCACACUUUUAUUUGUUGAGACAGUUGCUGAAAAAAAGUACUGUUGGUACUAUGAAGGAGAUUAUCCUGUGUACUUUGUAUGCAAAAUAU